This 120-nucleotide ribosomal RNA is filed under the name uncultured bacterium. RNAcentral's name for it is "partial 16S ribosomal RNA". It matches the Rfam family "Bacterial small subunit ribosomal RNA", at positions 796 to 914 of the family's 1533-position model. The record is from RNAcentral.
CACGCUGUAAACGAUGUUCACUAGGUGUUGGGGGUAUUGACCCUCUCAGUGCCGUAGCUAACGCAUUAAGUGAACCGCCUGGGAAGUACGGUCGCAAGACUAAAACUCAAAGGAAUUGAC